Molecule: long non-coding RNA, 214 nt
Filed under: Carica papaya (papaya)
Lineage: Eukaryota; Viridiplantae; Streptophyta; Magnoliopsida; Brassicales; Caricaceae
Description: long non-coding RNA (CPAP_LNC015555)
Source: RNAcentral
AUGCAUCAAAUCUUGGGUCCUCUAGCUUCGGUCUUCUACCUAAAGGUGAUUAAGUUUCCUUUUCCUUUCAGGAACAUACGGUUUAGUUGGGACCAUUUAAUAUUUUUCUUUCAAGUGUUAAACUGCCUGAAUGUGCUGUAAGUCUCCGGUGGAAUGGCUGUCAUCCCUCCAAGAGUAACUCCGGUGGAAUGUGAAGAUAAUGUCGUGACCCGGG